CCUACGGGAGGCAGCAGUGGGGAAUUUUGGACAAUGGGCGCAAGCCUGAUCCAGCCAUGCCGCGUGCGGGAAGAAGGCCUUCGGGUUGUAAACCGCUUUUGUCAGGGAAGAAAUCUUCUGGGUUAAUACCUCGGGAGGAUGACGGUACCUGAAGAAUAAGCACCGGCUAACUACGUGCCAGCAGCCGCGGUAAUACGUAGGGUGCAAGCGUUAAUCGGAAUUACUGGGCGUAAAGCGUGUGCAGGCGGUUAUGCAAGACAGAUGUGAAAUCCCCGGGCUCAACCUGGGAACUGCAUUUGUGACUGCAUGGCUGGAGUGUGGCAGAGGGGGAUGGAAUUCCGCGUGUAGCAGUGAAAUGCGUAGAUAUGCGGAGGAACACCGAUGGCGAAGGCAAUCCCCUGGGCCUGCACUGACGCUCAUGCACGAAAGCGUGGGGAGCAAACAGGAUUAGAUACCCUGGUAGUCCACGCCCUAAACGAUGUCAACUGGUUGUUGGGAAGGUUCCUUCUCAGUAACGUAGCUAACGCGUGAAGUUGACCGCCUGGGGAGUACGGCCGCAAGGUUGAAACUCAAAUGAAUUGACGG
RNAcentral lists this ribosomal RNA (585 nucleotides) under uncultured Burkholderiales bacterium. Its description in RNAcentral is "bacterial SSU rRNA". It matches the Rfam family "Bacterial small subunit ribosomal RNA", at positions 338 to 916 of the family's 1533-position model. The record is from RNAcentral. Lineage: Bacteria; Pseudomonadati; Pseudomonadota; Betaproteobacteria; Burkholderiales.